RNAcentral lists this ribosomal RNA (577 nucleotides) under uncultured marine eukaryote. Its description in RNAcentral is "SSU rRNA". It matches the Rfam family "Eukaryotic small subunit ribosomal RNA", at positions 618 to 1206 of the family's 1831-position model. The record is from RNAcentral.
GUUAAAAAGCUCGUAGUUGGAUUUUGGUUAAGAGGGCGCGGUCGGCCGUUUGGUCUGUACUGCGUUGUCUUGACUUCCUGAUGAGGACAUGCUCUUGGUUAACGCUGAGACAUGGAGUCAUCGUGGUUACUUUGAAAAAAUUAGAGUGUUCAAAGCGGGCUUACGCUUGAAUAUUUCAGCAUGGAAUAACACUAUAGGACUCCUGUCCUAUUUCGUUGGUCUCGGGACGGGAGUAAUGAUUAAGAGGAACAGUUGGGGGCAUUCGUAUUUCAUUGUCAGAGGUGAAAUUCUUGGAUUUAUGAAAGACGAACUUCUGCGAAAGCAUUUGCCAAGGAUGUUUUCAUUAAUCAAGAACGAAAGUUGGGGGCUCGAAGAUGAUUAGAUACCAUCCUAGUCUCAACCAUAAACGAUGCCGACUAGGGAUUGGCGGAUGUUAAUUGAUGACUCCGCCAGCACCUUAUGAGAAAUCAAAGUUUUUGGGUUCCGGGGGGAGAUAUGGUUGCAAGGCUGAAACUUAAAGGAAUUGACGGAAAGGCACCACCACGCGUUGAGCCUGCGGCUUAAUUUGACUCAACAC